RNAcentral lists this transfer RNA (69 nucleotides) under Cestrotus liui. RNAcentral's name for it is "tRNA-His". The record is from RNAcentral. Lineage: Eukaryota; Metazoa; Arthropoda; Insecta; Diptera; Lauxaniidae.
AUUUAAGUAGUUUAUAAAAAUAUUGAUUUGUGGUGUCAAUGAUAUGAAUUAGUUCAUUCAUCUUAGAUC